RNAcentral lists this transfer RNA (76 nucleotides) under Enterobacter cloacae. RNAcentral's name for it is "tRNA-Lys". It matches the Rfam family "tRNA". Rfam says of the family: Transfer RNA (tRNA) molecules are approximately 80 nucleotides in length. Lineage: Bacteria; Pseudomonadati; Pseudomonadota; Gammaproteobacteria; Enterobacterales; Enterobacteriaceae. The record is from RNAcentral. RNAcentral also lists the same sequence under 2 other names.
GGGUCCUUAGCUCAGUUGGUAGAGCAGUUGACUUUUAAUCAAUUGGUCGCAGGUUCGAAUCCUGCACGACCCACCA